UUGACAUCCAGAGAAUUUAGCAGAGAUGCUUUAGUGCCUUCGGGAACUCUGAGACAGGUGCUGCAUGGCUGUCGUCAGCUCCGUGUUGUGAAAUGUUGGGUUAAGUCCGCAACGAGCGCAACCCUUAUCCUUUGUUGCCAGCACGUAAUGGUGGGAACUCAAAGGAGACUGCCGGUGAUAAACCGGAGGAAGGUGGGGAUGACGUCAAGUCAUCAUGGCCCUUACGAGUAGGGCUACACACGUGCUACAAUGGCGUAUACAAAGAGAAGCGACCUCGCGAGAGCAAGCGGACCUCAUAAAGUGCGUCGUAGUCCGGAUUGGAGUCUGCAACUCGACUCCAUGAAGUCGGAAUCGCUAGUAAUCGUAAAUCAGAAUGUUACGGUGAAUACGUUCCCGGGCCUUGUACACACCGCCCGUCACACCAUGGGAGUGGGUUGCAAAAGAAGUAGAUAGCUUAACCUUCGGGAGGGCGUUUACCACUUUGUGAUUCAUGACUGGGGUGAAGUCGUAACAAGGUAAGCGUAGUGCU
RNAcentral lists this ribosomal RNA (529 nucleotides) under uncultured bacterium. RNAcentral describes it as "bacterial SSU rRNA". It matches the Rfam family "Bacterial small subunit ribosomal RNA", at positions 981 to 1509 of the family's 1533-position model. The record is from RNAcentral.